Molecule: unclassified non-coding RNA, 147 nt
Filed under: uncultured Lophodermium
Lineage: Eukaryota; Fungi; Ascomycota; Leotiomycetes; Rhytismatales; Rhytismataceae
Description: sequence contains ITS2
Source: RNAcentral
CAACCCUCAAGCUCCGCUUGGUGUUGGGCUCGCCCCUCCCCGGGGCCUGCCUCAAAAUCAGUGGCGGCCUCGCCCGGUCUCAAGCGCAGUAAUACUCGCCGCUUGUUGUCCCCGGGCGCGGCUGGUCAUCCAACCCCCACAUCACCA